CCGCUCCAGCGUGUGCAAGAUUUCGUCAAUAAACUUCCUGUAUCAACUGUUGUAAAGGAAGUAACAGGACCUCAAAAGAAAAAACAAAUUCCUGUUAAGAUCGAGCUGAGUCACGAAGCACCAGCGUUCGUGCCAUCCGUGGCACUGAACUUACUGUCACAGACAUCUGCUGUCUUGCCUUCCGAUACUAAGUCACCGGAAGUUACCUCUAUCCCAGAUCUGGGAUUAGUAACCGGCAUACAAAAACUAGGCCUUUCAGAUGAGAUCCCUGCUGAACACCAAAAACAGGGUGUUAAAGAAGCGAUCCCUGUCUUACGCACAAAACAAGAC
Molecule: long non-coding RNA, 330 nt
Filed under: Mytilus galloprovincialis (Mediterranean mussel)
Lineage: Eukaryota; Metazoa; Mollusca; Bivalvia; Mytilida; Mytilidae
Source: RNAcentral